Molecule: ribosomal RNA, 532 nt
Filed under: Plectosphaerella oratosquillae
Lineage: Eukaryota; Fungi; Ascomycota; Sordariomycetes; Glomerellales; Plectosphaerellaceae
Description: eukaryotic LSU rRNA
Rfam family: 5.8S ribosomal RNA (bases 146-299)
Source: RNAcentral
UCAUUACUGAGUACUACACUCUCUACCCUUUGUGAACUAUUAUACCUGUUGCUUCGGCGGCGCCCGCGAGGGCGCCCGCCGGUCUCAUCAGAAUCUCUGUUUUCGAACCCGACGAUACUUCUGAGUGUUCUUAGCGAACUGUCAAAACUUUUAACAACGGAUCUCUUGGCUCCAGCAUCGAUGAAGAACGCAGCGAAACGCGAUAUGUAAUGUGAAUUGCAGAAUUCAGUGAAUCAUCGAAUCUUUGAACGCACAUGGCGCCUUCCAGUAUCCUGGGAGGCAUGCCUGUCCGAGCGUCGUUUCAACCCUCGAGCCCCCCGUGGCCCGGCGUUGGGGAUCUGCCACGGCAGGCCCCUAAAACCAGUGGCGGACCCGCUGGGCCCUCUCCUUUGCGCAGUAGCAUCAGCCUCGCAUCGGGAGCCCUCGGCGUCCUGCCUCUAAACCCCCCACAAGCCCGCUCCGGCGGCACCAAGGUUGACCUCGGAUCAGGUAGGAAUACCCGCUGAACUUAAGCAUAUCAAUAAGCGGAGGA